CAGAACGAACGCUGGCGGCAGGCCUAACACAUGCAAGUCGAGCGAGGACUUCGGUCCUAGUGGCGGACGGGUGAGUAACGCGUGGGAACGUGCCCUUUGGUACGGAAUAGCCCCGGGAAACUGGGAGUAAUACCGUAUGGUGUCUUCGGACUAAAGAUUUAUCGCCAAAGGAUCGGCCCGCGUUGGAUUAGGUAGUUGGUGGGGUAAUGGCCUACCAAGCCGACGAUCCAUAGCUGGUUUGAGAGGAUGAUCAGCCACACUGGGACUGAGACACGGCCCAGACUCCUACGGGAGGCAGCAGUGGGGAAUCUUAGACAAUGGGGGCAACCCUGAUCUAGCCAUGCCGCGUGAGUGAUGAAGGCCCUAGGGUUGUAAAGCUCUUUCAGCUGGGAAGAUAAUGACGGUACCAGCAGAAGAAGCCCCGGCUAACUCCGUG
This 436-nucleotide ribosomal RNA is filed under the name uncultured bacterium. Its description in RNAcentral is "bacterial SSU rRNA". It matches the Rfam family "Bacterial small subunit ribosomal RNA", at positions 25 to 507 of the family's 1533-position model. The record is from RNAcentral.